GAUGAAGAACGUAGUGAAAUGCGAUAAGUAAUGUGAAUUGCAGAAUUCAGUGAAUCAUCGAAUCUUUGAACGCACAUUGCGCCCGCCAGUAUUCUGGCGGGCAUGCCUGUUCGAGCGUCAUUACAACCCUCAGGCCCCCGGGCCUGGCGUUGGGGAUCGGCAGAAGCCCCCUGUGGGCACACGCCGUCCCUCAAAUACAGUGGCGGUCCUGCCGCAGCUUCCAUUGCGUAGUAGCUAACACCUCGCAACUGGAGAGCGGCGCGGCCAUGCCGUAAAACACCCAACUUCUGAAUGUUGACCUCGAAUCAGGUAGGAAUACCCGCUGAACUUAAGCAUAUCAAUAAGCGGAGGA
RNAcentral lists this unclassified non-coding RNA (352 nucleotides) under soil metagenome. Its description in RNAcentral is "partial contains 5.8S ribosomal RNA, internal transcribed spacer 2, and large subunit ribosomal RNA". The stretch from base 1 to 120 matches the Rfam family "5.8S ribosomal RNA", at positions 35 to 154 of the family's 154-position model. The record is from RNAcentral.